GAUGAACGCUGACAGAAUGCUUAACACAUGCAAGUCUACUUGAUCCUUCGGGUGAUGGUGGCGGACGGGUGAGUAACGCGUAAAGAACUUGCCCUGCAGUCUGGGACAACAUUUGGAAACGAAUGCUAAUACCGGAUAUUAUGCGAGAUUCGCAUGUUUCUCGUAUGAAAGCUAUAUGCGCUGCAGGAGAGCUUUGCGUCCUAUUAGCUAGUUGGUGAGGUAACGGCUCACCAAGGCGAUGAUAAGUAGCCGGCCUGAGAGGGUGAACGGCCACAAGGGGACUGAGACACGGCCCUUACUCCUACGGGAGGCAGCAGUGGGGAAUAUUGGACAAUGGACCAAAAGUCUGAUCCAGCAAUUCUGUGUGCACGAUGAAGUUUUUCGGAAUGUAAAGUGCUUUCAGUUGGGACGAAGUAAGUGACGGUACCAACAGAAGAAGCGACGGCUAAAUACGUGCCAGCAGCCGCGGUAAUACGUAUGUCGCAAGCGUUAUCCGGAUUUAUUGGGCGUAAAGCGCGUCUAGGCGGUUUGGUAAGUCUGAUGUGAAAAUGCGGGGCUCAACUCCGUAUUGCGUUGGAAACUGUCAAACUAGAGUACUGGAGAGGUGGGCGGAACUACAAGUGUAGAGGUGAAAUUCGUAGAUAUUUGUAGGAAUGCCGAUGGGGAAGCCAGCCCACUGGACAGAUACUGACGCUAAAGCGCGAAAGCGUGGGUAGCAAACAGGAUUAGAUACCCUGGUAGUCCACGCCGUAAACGAUGAUUACUAGGUGUUGGGGGUCGAACCUCAGCGCCCAAGCUAACGCGAUAAGUAAUCCGCCUGGGGAGUACGUACGCAAGUAUGAAACUCAAAGGAAUUGACGGGGACCCGCACAAGCGGUGGAGCAUGUGGUUUAAUUCGACGCAACGCGAGGAACCUUACCAGCGUUUGACAUCCUAGGAAGUUGGCAGAGAUGCCUUCGUGCCCCUUCGGGGGAACCUAGUGACAGGUGGUGCAUGGCUGUCGUCAGCUCGUGUCGUGAGAUGUUGGGUUAGGUCCCGCAACGAGCGCAACCCCUUUCGUAUGUUGCCAUCAUUAAGUUGGGAACUCAUGCGAUACUGCCUGCGAUGAGCAGGAGGAAGGUGGGGAUGACGUCAAGUCAUCAUGCCCCUUAUACGCUGGGCUACACACGUGCUACAAUGGGUAGUACAGAGAGUCGCUAACCUGCGAGGGGGAGCUAAUCUCAGAAAACUAUUCUCAGUUCGGAUUGUACUCUGCAACUCGAGUACAUGAAGUUGGAAUCGCUAGUAAUCGCAAAUCAGCUAUGUUGCGGUGAAUACGUUCUCGGGUCU
RNAcentral lists this ribosomal RNA (1329 nucleotides) under uncultured bacterium. Its description in RNAcentral is "bacterial SSU rRNA". It matches the Rfam family "Bacterial small subunit ribosomal RNA", at positions 28 to 1381 of the family's 1533-position model. The record is from RNAcentral.